Arabidopsis lyrata subsp. lyrata is the source of this 778-nucleotide long non-coding RNA. RefSeq lists it as uncharacterized. NCBI's taxonomy places the organism in Eukaryota, Viridiplantae, Streptophyta, Magnoliopsida, Brassicales, Brassicaceae. The transcript is spliced from 3 exons. The record is from RefSeq and is a predicted model, not a curated record.
AAAACCCGACCCGACCCGACCCGAAAAAUGAGGUUCAGGUACGGUUUCGGUUAGACUCUAUAAACCGAACGGAUAAUAUGAUUGAUUUGCAGCGGGUUCGGUUUCGGUUCGGGUGUAAACCGAAACCCGAUCGGUUAACCGGCCAUUUAUUGUAUACACAUAUAUAUAAGGAUAUGUGUAGUUAAGAGAAGUAAUCAUAUAUUCAUAAACCCAAAAAUAUCGAGACUUGAGAGCACGUAUCUCCUGUUUCCGAUAUUCUCUCCGAUUUUCUAGAUUGCUUUUGCCGUUUCCACUUCUCCACUCCAUUGAUUCGUUUCUCAUCUUAAAGCCUAUAUAAACCCCAAAUUGGCAAACUGGAAACCCUAAAUCCCCUAAACGAUUCACGAGAAAUAGCUGCUAAACCUACUCUAUCAGCUUCUUCGACAAAUCAAUCAUGGGUUCUUCUUCACCUCCUCAACGACAACAAGAUGAAUAUCAGAAUCAGAAUGAUGAUGAAUCGGAGAGAAGUGAAGAUGAUGUGAUCCUUCGACAUUGGGAUUUUGUAGCUUCUGGAUGAAGACUCAUUAAGCUUGUAUGGAAGUGAAGUGAUUCUGGAUUGAUUUUUUUUUUCUCUCUAAACUCUUAGCUCUUAUGCUCUCUCCCUCUUUGGUACUUUGCAUUCUGGUUUUUGGAUGUUGGAAUUGUUUCUAUGUUGUUUUUCUUUUUUACUCUAAACUCCUUAUUCUCUCUUUGUUUGGAUUUGAAUUCUGGUUGUUCUAAUACUCUUAUACUAUGCAUU